RNAcentral lists this ribosomal RNA (507 nucleotides) under uncultured bacterium. Its description in RNAcentral is "bacterial SSU rRNA". It matches the Rfam family "Bacterial small subunit ribosomal RNA", at positions 28 to 528 of the family's 1533-position model. The record is from RNAcentral.
GAUGAACGCUAGCGGGAGGCUUAACACAUGCAAGUCGAGGGGCAGCACGAUGUAGCAAUACGUUGGUGGCGACCGGCGCACGGGUGAGUAACACGUAUGUAACCUACCCUGUACAGGGGGAUAACCCGGAGAAAUUCGGACUAAUACUCCAUGGAGAUAUACUGGGGCAUCCUGGUAUAUUUAAAGCUUCGGUGGUACGGGAUGGGCAUGCGCGACAUUAGCUAGUUGGUAAGGUAACGGCUUACCAAGGCGACGAUGUUUAGGGGACCUGAGAGGGUUGUCCCCCACACUGGUACUGAGACACGGACCAGACUCCUACGGGAGGCAGCAGUGAGGAAUAUUGGUCAAUGGGCGCAAGCCUGAACCAGCCAUCCCGCGUGAAGGAAGAAUGCGCUACGCGUUGUAAACUUCUUUUCCAGGGGGAGAAUAAUCCUGUCGUGACAGGACUUGACGGUACUCUGGGAAUAAGCAUCGGCUAACUCCGUGCCAGCAGCCGCGGUAAACUGU